CUUUCAUUUUCAGCCCUGCUCUUUAAAUACUAGACAUACCGUCUGGCGCAUGUCGAGGCGUGUAUUAUUUUGAUCCAGUGCGCGUGCCGUAUGUGACUUGGCUUGGCUUCCCCUGAAAGCAGCGGCUGUGGGGAGUUGAUUCGGAAGUGAAGGGCCCUGGGCGACCCGGCGAGUAGAGGCAACACCAACACUCCUCCUUAGCGAGGGGUCUCCCCGCCGCGGUGGCUGCCCGGCCCCAAGGACAGGAGGGAUUUGUGCACUGACUCCUGACCCCGUCCUCCAGCGCUGCUCUGAAGGGAGAGUCUGUGCAGUGGCACCUGCGCGAAGCUGGCCAAAGCCUGCCCAGACGGCUCACCUGUGCGGGAUGGAACAAAAGAAUUUCGCUCUUGUUGCCCACUGUUGUCCAGGCUGGAGUGCAAUGGCACGAUCUCAGCUCACCACAACCUCCGCCUCCUGGGUUCAAGUGAUUCUCCUACCUCAGCCUCCUGAGUAGCUGGGAUUACAGGUCGGCUUGAGGUUUGCGAGUCCCAGCUCCCACUGCCCCUGCCACCUGCCUUUCCCUUCUCAGGACAUACACAGGACUGGGAGAAAAUAGACUAAGCUGGAGUACAAUGGCAUGAUCAUGGCUCACUGCAACCUCCGCCUCCAGGGUUCAAGCAAUUCUCCCGCCUCAGAGUCCUGAGUCGCUGGAACUACAGAUGCACACCACCAUGCCUAAUUUUUCUACUUCUAGUAGAGAUGAGGUUUCACCAUGUUGGUCAGACUGGUCUUGAACUCCUGACCUCAGAUGAUCUGCCCGCCUUGGCUUCCCAAAGUGCUGGGAUUACAAGCAUGAGCUACUGUGCCCGGCCUUUUUUAUUUUUUUGAGAUAGAGUUUUGCU
This is a long non-coding RNA of Homo sapiens (human), 881 nucleotides long. RefSeq lists it as uncharacterized. The transcript has 4 exons. The record is from RefSeq and is marked validated. NCBI's taxonomy places the organism in Eukaryota, Metazoa, Chordata, Mammalia, Primates, Hominidae.